AGAGUUUGAUCAUGGCUCAGAACGUACGCUGGCGGCACGCCUUAUACAUGCAAGUCGAACGAAGUAGCAAUACUUAGUGGCAGACGGGUGAGUAACAUGUAGGUAUCUUCCCUUUGGUGAGGAAUAACACGAGGAAACUUGUGCUAAUACCUCAUAAGUCUUUACGGAGAAAGCUUUAUGCGCCGAUGGAUGAGCCUGCACUUGAUUAGUUUGUUGGUGGGGUAAUGGCCUACCAAGACUUUGAUCAAUAGCUGAUCUGAGAGGAUGAUCAGCCACAUUGGGACUGAGACACGGCCCAAACUCCUACGGGAGGCAGCAGUAGGGAAUAUUGCACAAUGGAGGAAACUCUGAUGCAGCGAUGCCGCGUGAGUGAAGAAGGCCCUUGGGUUGUAAAGCUCUUUCGUCGGGGAAGAAAAUGACUGUACCCGAAUAAGAAGGUCCGGCUAACUUCGUGCCAGCAGCCGCGGUAAUACGAAGGGACCUAGCGUAGUUCGGAAUUACUGGGCUUAAAGAGUUCGUAGGUGGUUAAAAAAGUUGGUGGUGAAAUCCCAGAGCUUAACUCUGGAACUGCCAUCAAAACUUUUUAGCUAGAGUAUGAUAGAGGAAAGCAGAAUUUCUAGUGUAGAGGUGAAAUUCGUAGAUAUUAGAAAGAAUACCAAUUGCGAAGGCAGCUUUCUGGAUCAUUACUGACGCUGAGGAACGAAAGCAUGGGUAGCGAAGAGGAUUAGAUACCCUCGUAGUCCAUGCCGUAAACGAUGUGUGUUAGACGUUGGAAAUUUAUUUUCAGUGUCGCAGCGAAAGCAUUAAACACACCGCCUGGGGAGUACGACCGCAAGGUUAAAACUCAAAUGAAUUGACGGGGACCCGCACAAGUAGUGGAGCAUGUGGUUUAAUUCGAAGAUACGCGCAGAACCUUACCAACACUUGACAUGUUCGUCGCGACUUCAAGAGAUUGGAGUCUUCGGUUCGGCCGGACGAAACACAGGUGCUGCAUGGCUGUCGUCAGCUCGUGUCGUGAGAUGUUGGGUUAAGUCCCGCAACGAGCGCAACCCUCACUUUUA
RNAcentral lists this ribosomal RNA (1061 nucleotides) under marine metagenome. RNAcentral's name for it is "bacterial SSU rRNA". It matches the Rfam family "Bacterial small subunit ribosomal RNA", at positions 8 to 1113 of the family's 1533-position model. The record is from RNAcentral.